Peniophora sp. CONT is the source of this 100-nucleotide non-coding RNA. The record is from the annotation of a GenBank genome assembly. NCBI's taxonomy places the organism in Eukaryota, Fungi, Basidiomycota, Agaricomycetes, Russulales, Peniophoraceae.
GGCCUGAUGGUCUAGUAGUAUGAUUCCUUCUUAGGGUUACCAAGUAUAGCUUGUAUACGCCAUUUGGAGGAGGUCCCGGGUUCAAUUCCCGGUUAGGCCC